AAGACUAUACUUUCAGGGAUCAUUUCUAUAGUCUCUAACUAGGAAAUAUGAUUUGAAAGUGUUACGUCUCUCUAAUCACGAUGACGAGGUCUGAUGUGCUUUUCUGAGCGUGAAUCGGGUUGAAACUAAUGAUUCGUUCAUGAGUUUAAAUCAUUGAUGAACGUUCUUCAUUUCUUAGGAAAUGUGAGAAGAAAAGUACAUGAUCAGAGUGAU
Molecule: small nucleolar RNA, 213 nt
Organism: Pangasianodon hypophthalmus (striped catfish)
Lineage: Eukaryota; Metazoa; Chordata; Actinopteri; Siluriformes; Pangasiidae
Product: small nucleolar RNA U3
Exons: 1
Source: RefSeq, a predicted model, not a curated record